This 61-nucleotide ribosomal RNA is filed under the name Hypocreales sp. Tenaun 71A. Its description in RNAcentral is "partial 28S ribosomal RNA". The record is from RNAcentral. Lineage: Eukaryota; Fungi; Ascomycota; Sordariomycetes; Hypocreales.
UUGACCUCGGAUCAGGUAGGAAUACCCGCUGAACUUAAGCAUAUCAAUAAAGCGGGAGGAA